UAAUGGCAGGUCAGCAUACUGCCGUGAAUACGUUCCCGGGCCUUGUACACACCGCCCGUCACACCAUGAGAGUUGGGAAUACCCGAAGCCUGUGAGCUAACUUUUUAAGGGGCAGCAGUCGAAGGUAGAAUCAAUGAUUGGGGUGAAGUCGUAACAAGGUAGC
RNAcentral lists this ribosomal RNA (163 nucleotides) under uncultured bacterium. RNAcentral's name for it is "partial 16S ribosomal RNA". It matches the Rfam family "Bacterial small subunit ribosomal RNA", at positions 1339 to 1500 of the family's 1533-position model. The record is from RNAcentral.